This is a long non-coding RNA of Vespula pensylvanica (western yellowjacket), 2032 nucleotides long. RefSeq lists it as uncharacterized. NCBI's taxonomy places the organism in Eukaryota, Metazoa, Arthropoda, Insecta, Hymenoptera, Vespidae. The transcript has 2 exons. The record is from RefSeq and is a predicted model, not a curated record.
CACAGAUAAAGAUAAAGAUAAAGAGAGAGAGAGAGAGAGAGAGAGAGAGAGAGAGAGAGAGAGGGCGAGGAGGGUAUCGCGAAGAGAGGGAAGAGGUGGAAAGAAGAUUUCUGGGCACGCGCAGUACACCUGCUAGCGUGUAGUGGCACGCGCCGUACCAACCCUUCUCCACCAGCAUCACCAGCACCACUACCAUUAACAGUACUACCACCAUCAAGAACGGUAGCGGCAGCGGCAGCGGCAGCAGCAGCGGCAACAGCAGCAGCAGCAGCACGGCCGCUGGCAUCGCUUGGCCCUCUCCACCUCGUUCUCUUACUGCGACGGCAGUCGAGCACUCCCUCCCUCGUCGCGGCGCUUCGUUCUCCUCCGCGGCCGUCGGCGCCGCUUCUCCCACCCUCCCCCGAGCGUUCCUCCCUCCGGAACGGUCCCCUCGCGCGUGCCGCGCGGGAGUCAAUCGCUCGUGGACUUCGACGAGGCGAGCACACGCGGCUCCUUCCUCUCUUCUCUUUCUCUCCUCUCCCGACGUCGUUCGUGCGUGACGUUUUCGACGUGAAAAAGAAGGAGAAAGAAAGAAGUACGAUCGACGUCGUUCGCCGUGUCUUGACGUUUCUCCCUCUCCUCUCUCUCUCUCUCUCUCUCUCUCUCUCUCUGUCUCUCUCUCUGUUUGCCUGUCUUUCUCUAUCUAUUUAUCUAUCUCUUUCUUUCUCUCUCUCUCUCUCUGGUUCUCAGUCUUUUUCUCUUCUUUUUCGAUGACUCUCCAUUUUCCUCUGUCUGUCUGUCUCGUCUGUUCGUAUCUCCUAAACUCUUGGAGUUUCUAAUUGGUUAAAUCUUCGAUGUGAGAGAAGAUAAGAUCGAUAAAGGAAAAGAAGUGUAUCCCCAAGGUUGGAGUGGCAAGGACAUUGUCGAUAAAAGGUGCGAAGAAAAAGGGAGAGAAGGAAAGGAGAAUACGAGUAGAAGUAAGAGAGCACGGCACGAGAGUAGCCGGCCGAUGUUCGCGUAUGAAAGAAUCCAGUCGGCCUCUUCCGCCUUCUCCUCCUCAUCCUCUCGCGAGAGCACCGCGAGGAGGGAAACGUCAUCGACGACGAGAAGUUUUAUCUAAGAGCCGAGACCGCUGCGUGGAGAACGACGAGGAAGACGAGGACGACGGCGAAGCCGUUCCGAUCCUCGUCGAAACGUUCUCGAUCCUCCGAUCCGAAGGGAAUAAAAACGAACGGAAGACUGUUUAAGACGUAAGAAAGAGAGAGAAAAAGGCCGUCCAGUUGAGAGGUCCCUGACAUAUUUCGAGUCUCGUCGUUGGAAUCUCGCGAGUGGCCGGCCGAUGCCCGUUGAUCCGGCCGUUCCGCCGCAGACUUUUCCCGUUUCUUCGUCUCCGCCGUAGUGGAAAAGAGGCAGGGAGAGAGGGAGAGGACAAGCACACUUUUCUUGAUCGUUCUUCCGCGCAACGAACGUUUCUCAUCGACCGAGCUCUCUUUCUCUCUCUCUCUCUCUCGCUCUCGCUCUCGCUCUCUUGCUCUCGCUCGCUCGCUCGCAAAACCACCUGUUGACGAUUUACGAGGGAAAAUCUACGUCGUUCUACCUUACGAAACGUUCUACAUUUGACAUUUUUUCCAGAAGAGAUCGGCAAGUUCUUUCUUCUAAAGCAACAAAGACGUCAUUCCAAAGAAAGGUGCUAACGUUCGUUCUAGUGUUUAAUAUAAAUGCCGCAAGCAACCUCGAAUAAUCCUAUUUUCUUCGAAACCGAUCGAAAAGGGGCGAAGAAGAGGGAAACAGGAGGUUAAAGCUUUCACAGCUCUUCGUACUUUUCGACGACUCGAAGAGUACGUUACUACGGACAGCGAGUGUUUUUCUAUGUCAAUGUUAUCCGUGCGUUGACGUGUUAUCGGUCAGUUGCAUCGGCGCUGCCUGAAAAACUCGUCGGUGUCAAGAGGUCACAGAACGUUCCGUGUAGAUUACGCGAUCCGCGAAACGCCUUUCGGACAGGUCUGCUCUUUGUCUCUGUCAUUCUUUCGCAUUUUCGCUCUGUGAAGCAAUU